UGGGGAAUAUUGCGCAAUGGGGGGAACCCCGACGCAGCCAUGCCGCGUGAAUGAAGAAGGCCUUCGGGUUGUAAAGUUCUUUCGGUAUUGAGGAAGGUUGAUGUGUUAAUAGCACAUCAAAUUGACGUUAAAUACAGAAGAAGCACCGGCUAACUCCGUGCCAGCAGCCGCGGUAAUACGGAGGGUGCGAGCGUUAAUCGGAAUAACUGGGCGUAAAGGGCACGCAGGCGGUUAUUUAAGUGAGGUGUGAAAGCCCCGGGCUUAACCUGGGAAUUGCAUUUCAGACUGGGUAACUAGAGUACUUUAGGGAGGGGUAGAAUUCCACGUGUAGCGGUGAAAUGCGUAGAGAUGUGGAGGAAUACCGAAGGCGAAGGCAGCCCCUUGGGAAUGUACUGACGCUCAUGUGCGAAAGCGUGGGGAGCAAACAGGAUUAGAUACCCUGGUAGUCCACGCUGUAAACGCUGUCGAUUUGGGGGUUGGGGUUUAACUCUGGCGCCCGUAGCUAACGUGAUAAAUCGACCGCCUGGGGAGUACGGCCGCAAGGUUA
This 547-nucleotide ribosomal RNA is filed under the name uncultured bacterium. Its description in RNAcentral is "bacterial SSU rRNA". It matches the Rfam family "Bacterial small subunit ribosomal RNA", at positions 355 to 896 of the family's 1533-position model. The record is from RNAcentral.